GGGAUGGACACCAUCAAUGGCUCAAAAGAACGGUACAGCCUAAGAAAGGGAAGAAACAGAGGGGCUGAAGCAGCAGUGACAGCAAAAUGGACACGUAAACAGCACACGAAGGGAAAACGGUGGUCACCGUUUUCUAUCUCAGCUUCAUAAUCCUGACAUCAAGCAUCUUCACGUCUCUCACACCUCCUUGAUCCUAGCUUCAGCAUGAUCAAGAGUCUACAAGUCUUUACACCUGCAUAUUCCUUUUGUUGCCACCCCCAUACCUAACUGGAGAGCAGAGGCUUUAAUGAACAAGGUAAGAGUGAAGCUCUGGUUAAAGGUUUGCAUUUCAUACUUGACAAGUUCAUUUAAACCAUGCCUAAAAGCAUUCCCUUGUCUUCUCAGUGACACACACGUAUAUUCUAACACGUGCCCUUACAAAACACACACAAUGAACCCCAGCUGGCACUGAGUUCCGUCACAGGGGAACAUCGUAUAGAAGAGCUGAAUUUAAGUAGACACUGUGGAUGACCUACAGAAAUGGAAUGAAGGCAACUUAUUUCAGCUGGAUUUAAUAUACAGUCUUCUUAACGAGAUAAGAACUAC
This is a long non-coding RNA of Falco peregrinus (peregrine falcon), 585 nucleotides long. RefSeq lists it as uncharacterized. The transcript has 2 exons. NCBI's taxonomy places the organism in Eukaryota, Metazoa, Chordata, Aves, Falconiformes, Falconidae. The record is from RefSeq and is a predicted model, not a curated record.